This 855-nucleotide long non-coding RNA is filed under the name Chinchilla lanigera (long-tailed chinchilla). RNAcentral's name for it is "lncRNA (ENSCLAG00000023224.1)". Lineage: Eukaryota; Metazoa; Chordata; Mammalia; Rodentia; Chinchillidae. The record is from RNAcentral.
UUUUAUUGGCCAUUCUGGACGCUUCAUUUCAAAGGGAAAGAUUUGAAUUCAGAGACAUCACGUUCGCUUUGUUCUCUUGCCCUCCAGCCUUUGGUGCCAGUGUGGACUGUACUACGGGGAGCGGGCGAGAUCAAACCCCCUCUCCUCAUCGCUCCUUGCCCCCAGAGCUGGCCCUUGGCGUGCUUAAUGAAAUCAGCUUUGCUAUAGAUUGACAAUGCCCUGUCAAUUAUAAUCAUUUAUCUUGGCAAGCAGAGCAUUGGAACACUUGAAAGAGCAGGGGUUCAGCAGGCCCUGCAAAACCAGAAUAAAAUUAUACUGCACGGUAAUCAGAGCGCGAGUAUAUUGCUCACAUAAAAUUUUACUUUAACUGUCAGAGGGGCCGAUAUGAUCUUACGUCUCAUUUUCUGCCUGUAGGGCGCUUGCAGUUCCAUUUGGGUCACUUUGCAGUGACUGGGAUGCAACAGGGGUUUUGCACAGUCUGGGUGCGUGGAGGAGGGGAGCUGCCCUGCGCACGGACAAGGGCUGGGGGCUCGUCAUUGCUUCUGCUGCGACACAGGAUGGUGAGCAGUGGCCGGAAGCCCAGAGCAGCGCUUGCUUUACAGACCAGUGAAGCCCACAUCACCUACGAGGAGGGUGCAAUCCCCGCCCCUUUUCCAGCGGGGAAACAAGGCACAGAGACGUCAUGAAGUUGCCAGACUUACACGGCUCAUCCUGGCAGAGCCGGGCUUUGCUCUUGCGGCCCCACUGUGCAUCGAAUUCCCAUCCAGGAGCUGCCUCUGGUGUGGGCAUCAGUGGCUCUGGACACAAAUGAGAGCUGAAGCCAGCAGGAGCAGCACACAGUGGGAGGCACCCUGG